This 253-nucleotide ribosomal RNA is filed under the name uncultured bacterium. RNAcentral's name for it is "partial 16S ribosomal RNA". It matches the Rfam family "Bacterial small subunit ribosomal RNA", at positions 524 to 776 of the family's 1533-position model. The record is from RNAcentral.
UACGUAGGGGGCUAGCGUUGUCCGGAAUCAUUGGGCGUAAAGCGCGUGUAGGCGGUUCGGUAAGUCUGCUGUGAAAGUCGGGGGCUCAACCCUCGAAAGCCGGUGGAUACUGUCGGACUAGAGUGCGGAAGAGGCGAGUGGAAUUCCUGGUGUAGCGGUGAAAUGCGCAGAUAUCAGGAAGAACACCCGUGGCGAAGGCGGUUCUCUGGGACGGUACUGACGCUUAGACGCGAAAGCGUGGGGAGCGAACAGG